GUCGAACGAUGAUCCCAGCUUGCUGGGGGAUUAGUGGCGAACGGGUGAGUAACACGUGAGUAACCUGCCCUUAACUCUGGGAUAAGCCUGGGAAACUGGGUCUAAUACCGGAUAUGACUCCUCAUCGCAUGGUGGGGGGUGGAAAGCUUUAUUGUGGUUUUGGAUGGACUCGCGGCCUAUCAGCUUGUUGGUGAGGUAAUGGCUCACCAAGGCGACGACGGGUAGCCGGCCUGAGAGGGUGACCGGCCACACUGGGACUGAGACACGGCCCAGACUCCUACGGGAGGCAGCAGUGGGGAAUAUUGCACAAUGGGCGAAAGCCUGAUGCAGCGACGCCGCGUGAGGGAUGACGGCCUUCGGGUUGUAAACCUCUUUCAGUAGGGAAGAAGCGAAAGUGACGGUACCUGCAGAAGAAGCGCCGGCUAACUACGUGCCAGCAGCCGCGGUAAUACGUAGGGCGCAAGCGUUAUCCGGAAUUAUUGGGCGUAAAGAGCUCGUAGGCGGUUUGUCGCGUCUGCCGUGAAAGUCCGGGGCUCAACUCCGGAUCUGCGGUGGGUACGGGCAGACUAGAGUGAUGUAGGGGAGACUGGAAUUCCUGGUGUAGCGGUGAAAUGCGCAGAUAUCAGGAGGAACACCGAUGGCGAAGGCAGGUCUCUGGGCAUUAACUGACGCUGAGGAGCGAAAGCAUGGGGAGCGAACAGGAUUAGAUACCCUGGUAGUCCAUGCCGUAAACGUUGGGCACUAGGUGUGGGGGACAUUCCACGUUUUCCGCGCCGUAGCUAACGCAUUAAGUGCCCCGCCUGGGGAGUACGGCCGCAAGGCUAAAACUCAAAGGAAUUGACGGGGGCCCGCACAAGCGGCGGAGCAUGCGGAUUAAUUCGAUGCAACGCGAAGAACCUUACCAAGGCUUGACAUGAACCGGAAACACCUGGGAAACAGGUGCCCCGCUUGCGGUCGGUUUACAGGUGGUGCAUGGUUGUCGUCAGCUCGUGUCGUGAGAUGUUGGGUUAAGUCCCGCAACGAGCGCAACCCUCGUUCUAUGUUGCCAGCGCGUUAUGGCGGGGACUCAU
RNAcentral lists this ribosomal RNA (1070 nucleotides) under Pseudarthrobacter psychrotolerans. RNAcentral describes it as "bacterial SSU rRNA". It matches the Rfam family "Bacterial small subunit ribosomal RNA", at positions 61 to 1142 of the family's 1533-position model. The record is from RNAcentral. Lineage: Bacteria; Bacillati; Actinomycetota; Actinomycetes; Micrococcales; Micrococcaceae.